Molecule: ribosomal RNA, 497 nt
Filed under: uncultured bacterium
Lineage: Bacteria
Description: partial 16S ribosomal RNA
Rfam family: Bacterial small subunit ribosomal RNA
Source: RNAcentral
GAUGAACGCUGGCGGCGUGCCUAAUACAUGCAAGUCGAGCGAACGGACGAGAAGCUUGCUUCUCUGAUGUUAGCGGCGGACGGGUGAGUAACACGUGGAUAACCUACCUAUAAGACUGGGAUAACUUCGGGAAACCGGAGCUAAUACCGGAUAAUAUUUUGAACCGCAUGGUUCAAAAGUGAAAGACGGUCUUGCUGUCACUUAUAGAUGGAUCCGCGCUGCAUUAGCUAGUUGGUAAGGUAACGGCUUACCAAGGCAACGAUGCAUAGCCGACCUGAGAGAGUGAUCGGCCACACUGGAACUGAGACACGGUCCAGACGCCUACGGGAGGCAGCAGUAGGGAAUCUUCCGCAAUGGGCGAAAGCCUGACGGAGCAACGCCGCGUGAGUGAUGAAGGUCUUCGGAUCGUAAAACUCUGUUAUUAGGGAAGAACAUAUGUGUAAGUAACUGUGCACAUCUUGACGGUACCUAAUCAGAAAGCCACGGCUAACUACGUG